CAUACGGGUGGCAGCAGUGAGGAAUAUUGGUCAAUGGGCGCGAGCCUGAACCAGCCAAGUAGCGUGAAGGCUGACUGCCCUACGGGUUGUAAACUUCUUUUAUAAAGGAAUAAAGUGAGGCACGUUUGCCUUUUUGUAUGUAUUUUAUGAAUAAGGAUCGGCUAACUCCGUGACAGCAGCCGCGGUAAUACGGAGGAUCCGAGCGUUAUCCGGCUUUAUUGGGUUUAAAGGGAGCGUAGAUGGGUUGGUAAGUCAGUUGUGAAAGUUUGCGGAUCAACCGUAAAAUUGCAAUUGAUACUGGCAGCCUUGAGUACAGUUGAGGUAGGCGGAAUUCGUGGUGUAGCGGUGAAAUGCUGAGAUAUCACGAAGAACUCCGAUUGCGAAGGCAGCCUACUAAACUGCCACUGACAUUGAUGCUCGAAAGUGUGGGUAUCAAACAGGAUUAGAUACCCGAGUAGUC
Molecule: ribosomal RNA, 460 nt
Filed under: uncultured bacterium
Lineage: Bacteria
Description: partial 16S ribosomal RNA
Rfam family: Bacterial small subunit ribosomal RNA
Source: RNAcentral